This 253-nucleotide ribosomal RNA is filed under the name uncultured bacterium. Its description in RNAcentral is "partial 16S ribosomal RNA". It matches the Rfam family "Bacterial small subunit ribosomal RNA", at positions 524 to 776 of the family's 1533-position model. The record is from RNAcentral.
UACGUAGGGGGCAAGCGUUGUCCGGAAUCAUUGGGCGUAAAGAGCGUGUAGGCGGUUCGGUAAGUCGGCUGUGAAAGUCCAGGGCUCAACCCUGGGAUGCCGGUGGAUACUGUCGGGCUAGAGUGCGGAAGAGGCGAGUGGAAUUCCUGGUGUAGCGGUGAAAUGCGCAGAUAUCAGGAGGAACACCGAUUGCGAAGGCAGCUCGCUGGGACGUAACUGACGCUGAGACGCGAAAGCGUGGGGAGCAAACAGG